RNAcentral lists this ribosomal RNA (253 nucleotides) under uncultured bacterium. RNAcentral's name for it is "partial 16S ribosomal RNA". It matches the Rfam family "Bacterial small subunit ribosomal RNA", at positions 524 to 776 of the family's 1533-position model. The record is from RNAcentral.
UACAGAGGGUGCAAGCGUUAAUCGGAAUUACUGGGCGUAAAGCGUGCGUAGACGGUUACAUAAGUCGGGUGUGAAAGCCCCGGGCUCAACCUGGGAAUUGCAUUCGAGACUGCGUAGCUAGGGUGCGGAAGAGGGAAGCGGAAUUUCCGGUGUAGCGGUGAAAUGCGUAGGUAUCGGAAGGAACACCAGUGGCGAAGGCGACUACCUGGCCUGUUCUUGACGCUGAGGCGCGAAAGCUAGGGGAGCAAACGGG